This 1592-nucleotide long non-coding RNA is filed under the name Sorghum bicolor (sorghum). Its description in RNAcentral is "long non-coding RNA (SBIC_LNC009478)". The record is from RNAcentral. Lineage: Eukaryota; Viridiplantae; Streptophyta; Magnoliopsida; Poales; Poaceae.
GGCGGAUUCCUCACCUCGACCGGAACGUCACGGUGGUCUCCUUCUCGGUCGGGACGCAGAGAGCACGGAAAAAGAUGGCGGCGGCUCGAGCUUCUCGGUGCGGCAAUGGCGGCGGCUCGAGCUUCUCGGUGCGGCAAUGGCGGCGGCUCCUCCUAGGGUUCAAAAGGGGGAUGGAGGCGCUGGGUAAGGCCUUUAUAGGCCGGGGAACCUCGUGGGACGCGCGCGAGCGCGAGGAUCGGGCGGCGGUUGCGUCCGGCUCCGAUCCGGCCGGAGGUAGGGGAUGACCACGGGCGCUGACGCGUGGGGCCGGAGCGUCAGCGGCUCAGGCGCGGGCUGGCAGGCGGGGCCCGCGUGGCAGCGGCUCGGGGUGGCGGUGUGGGCUGGCUCCAGCGCAUGGGGGGUUGGGCCGGCUGCUGUGCUGGGCCGCGUCCCAAGAGGGCGAGCAUGGGGGUGAAAGCGGAGGGUGCUGGGCCGAGAGCCGGCCCAGGUGAGGGCUCUCCCUUUUUUUCUUUUUCUUUUUUUUUUCUUUUUUUCUUUUUUUUUGUAAAACAGAAAUUCUCAACUAUUUUAUCAACCAAAUUCCAAACUAUUUGCAAACCAGAAUUCAAAAAUAAAUUUGAAUCAAUACUUAGGAAUUAUUUUGGAAUUUUCUUUGUAGACUAUUUUGAAAUCUAAAUAUAUUUUAGUUUAAACACAUUUCUAAAUUGUUUUCCAACUCGAAUUUGAAUUAGUUUUAAAUAGGACUUUUGGAGUUUUAUUUUUUCGAAAACCAACACAACCUAAACGCGGCUCUCUAGAAAUUUUGAAAAUUUACUUUUCUCAGUCAAACAAAACUAGAGCACAAAGCACACAUCAAAACCAAACACCCUUCACCUAUCACUUAUUUUUAUAAAAGUUUUAAAAUUUCACAUUUUCCUCAUUUCAUAAAAACAAUAAUUAAUAAAAUCUUGGAAUAUUUUAGAAAAAAAAUUUAAACCCUUAUUUAAUUUAGUAUUUUCUAAUAACAAUCCAAAAUUAGAAAUUUUGGAGUGUUAUAGAUCUACCCCACUUAACAUAAAUCUCGUCCCGAGAUUUGAAGAAACUAAAGAGAAAGAUAAAGUAGAUCAUCAAAAUUGUUUCGAGACUUUCAAGACAUGAUCAAAGAAUUAAAUAUAGACAUAAAGGGUAUAGAGUAUGCUACAGAUUUGAAGACAAAGAAAGAUAAACAUAUGAGAUAGAAAUUGAUCUUUGGAUUCUUGUAUUACGAUAAAGUGCAAGGGCAAAAAGCCAAGGUUAACAGGAGAUAACACAUAGGAGAUAGAUAUAAUAGUGCUCACAAUUUCCUUGAUUCCGGGUAUGUAUAAGAUAGUAGACGAAAGGAUAAAGAAUUAGCAGAAGUCGACAAAGACUUAGAUUUUUUUUUUAAGUCUUCACGCUUAAUCAUCUGUAGUCCAAUGAGGCGUAGGAUCAAAGAUCGCGGGUUGACAAAAAAAUGAUAAGGGUUUGUCGCAAGAUUGAUAAGGAUCAAUAUACAGUUCUCCAUGUGUUCUGAUUAGAGAUUUUCGAGAGUGACGAUUGUAGCGGACGCUACCCCACUUAAACCAAGUGUUAGC